CCUACGGGGGGCAGCAGUGGGGAAUAUUGGACAAUGGGGGGAACCCUGAUCCAGCGACGCCGCGUGAGUGAAGAAGUAUUUCGGUAUGUAAAGCUCUAUCAGCAGGGAAGAAAGAAAUGACGGUACCUGACUAAGAAGCCCCGGCUAACUACGUGCCAGCAGCCGCGGUAAUACGUAGGGGGCAAGCGUUAUCCGGAUUUACUGGGUGUAAAGGGAGCGUAGACGGCGAUGCAAGUCUGAAGUGAAAGGCGGGGGCCCAACCCCUGGACUGCUUUGGAAACUGUAUGGCUGGAGGGCAGGAGAGGUAAGUGGAAUUCCUAGUGUAGCGGUGAAAUGCGUAGAUAUUAGGAGGAACACCAGUGGCGAAGGCGGCUUACUGGACUGUAACUGACGUUGAGGCUCGAAAGCGUGGGGAGCAAACAGGAUUAGAUACCCUAGUAGUC
This 443-nucleotide ribosomal RNA is filed under the name uncultured bacterium. RNAcentral's name for it is "partial 16S ribosomal RNA". It matches the Rfam family "Bacterial small subunit ribosomal RNA", at positions 338 to 795 of the family's 1533-position model. The record is from RNAcentral.